Molecule: long non-coding RNA, 1839 nt
Filed under: Anas zonorhyncha (Eastern spot-billed duck)
Lineage: Eukaryota; Metazoa; Chordata; Aves; Anseriformes; Anatidae
Description: lncRNA (ENSAZOG00000009035.1)
Source: RNAcentral
ACCUCCUAUCCUCCAGUGAAACGUCGCAUAGCAUGGGCUGGGCAGCUCCAGGUGCCUGCAGAUCCCCAGCACUGCCCUGCUGUGUCUCCUGCCCAUCUCCCACUGCUGCAGUCCCAGCAUCGCCCCAGCACUUGGAGCAGCUGGGCUCCUGCUGCAGCCAGCCCCGUGCCCCAUCCACCACUCCAGAAGCGACCCCUGAGCGCCUGGACCAGGAGUGCGACCGCCUCCAGCCCUCCAGAUGCUUUCAGUCGGCCCCCUGCAGAGAGGCCAGCCUGGACCACGAUCUCAGGCAAUGAUCCAAGUAGUGGGGCAGGAGCCCCUUUCCUGAGGAUUCAUAGCAUGGACUGCCUCCUGCAGGAAAAGGUGAUGCUGCGGAAAGGGUGAGGGAUGCAACUCAUGGUCCUGCCCUAGGGAAAAGUGUGGUGAGAGUGAUUGUAUGGGCUGGUAGAUGACAAAGGGUACAAAAUGUGUGUGUGUGUGUGACCAAGAGUCCCAGCAAUGUGCAGGGAACUGGGAACCACUGGGUAUGUGGAGGAUCUGGGCUCUCUGGAAAUUCAGGGUGAGGAGGGAGAAGGCAUCAGCUGUGUCUGAAAAGCAUGGGUGUCGCAGGGUGACUGCAGUGUGCUGUUAAUGAGAGAAGGCUAGCCUCAUCCAAAGCUGUGUGCUUUAUGGAAAUUACGCGGUUACCCUAUAGAAGCAGGCAGCCUGGUGUCUGUAACUGCAGAGUGACAGACGACACAUGGAACCUGCCCGCAGGAUGAAAAGCUGCUGAGACUGGAAAAGGAAAUCAGUCGUCUCUCUGGUUUUGAAGCAGAAUCAAAGCAGAAAGAUACAGUGAUAAGGAGUCUUCAGGACAAAAUUGCAGAGAUGGCCAAGACCAUGGCCCAGGCUGCUGCUAGAAGCGAUGUGGAGCUGACCCAAAAGCUUCUAACGUUUGACAGAGAAAUCAGAGCCAAAACAGAAGAGAUUAAAACCUUAAAGGAACAGAUCAGUGACUUGCAGAAAGAUUCAAGUGAAAUUUUUAGCCAUUCUCUUUAUGAAAGAGACCUGGAAAUUGGAAGCCUGAGAAAAGAAAGUGAGAAGCUAAAGAGGGAUCACGCUUUGACCACAGGUCUAGUGACCAGCCUGCAAAGGGAGAUUGCUGUGAAGGAGCAGAAAAUUCAGCAACUCAAGCAGGACGUGGAGAAAAUAAAGAAGGCAAACAGAGAAAAGGACAACCAGCUGGCUGUUGUGUCUGCCAAGGUUAGCACCCCAGUGACGUGCUCUGUAAGUGACAGUCUCAUACACGGGCUAGCAUGGAACAGUAAGAUCCAAAGGGUCUCGCUUCUCUCUGGUAAGGACUGGAGCAGCUAUUUCAGUUUCAAUCGCUGCCCAAAAUCUCUGUCCCCAGGGGAUUUUCCCUCAGCUGAAAAAAGGUUUUGGCAUGGAGCUUUCUUCUCCUCUCCCUUCCUGUACUUCUGGCAGGUACUUGAGAAGGUCAGGCAGAUCUGUGAGGAGAACCAACAAAGUCAGGAAAGAGAGAAGCGUCUCCAGGAGGAAAUAAGUGCCAGGCUCUCGAAGGAAAAGGAGGUGUCUGAAAAUGUCACGGUGUUCAAGGAAUCAGUGCGUGAGCUCCAGGCUUUCCUGGGGACCUCGUUCUGCAGCGACAGCUUGAGGAGGGAGCUGUGCAAGUUCGAGGCCGUGCUUGUGGACCCCUUGGUGUCGGACGUGCAGGCAGCUGUGGUGGAAAUCGCUCGCGUGGCCCUGUCGUGGCUGGAGGGAGCGGAGCAGCUGCUGGCAAGCGCAGGGUUGGACCUGCCCACCUCUGGCAAAGGUCGAUUCAGUCAGUGCCGAGGCUGA